This is a long non-coding RNA of Tupaia belangeri chinensis (Chinese tree shrew), 2446 nucleotides long. RefSeq lists it as uncharacterized. The transcript has 3 exons. NCBI's taxonomy places the organism in Eukaryota, Metazoa, Chordata, Mammalia, Scandentia, Tupaiidae. The record is from RefSeq and is a predicted model, not a curated record.
CGCCCUAUAGUGAAAAAAACCUCUCAAAAAAAAGAAAAUGUGUGUUACAAUAAAAACGGUGUAUGGGGUUCAUUUUCUUUUGGCGCCAAAAUAAGCUUCCAUGUUAAGUCCACUUUUCCAAUGAACUUUUUGAAGUCCCCUAAUAUUACCCUUAAACCGAUGGCUCUGUAUCACUAGGCGGUUUGCGUGCUUGCGGCUGGCGUUUCGGUUUUCCCAUCACUCCCUCGCUGCCUCGUGACCCGUCCUUUUCUGGGUUGCUUGUCUUUUGACAGUGCCCUUUUACCCAGUUCAUGUUGUCUAAUCCGGCUGCCUUCGGGUCGCAAAACUAAGGGUCCAGUCCUUUUUAGAACUGGUGUAAAGGAGGAGUAAAUAGACCGCGAGUAAACAUGAAUGAGGGUUUCCCUUGUGCCUGCCGGAAGGCUUGGUUAGAACUUAGUUCGUGUUGAUUUUCUGUGAUUAUCAGAAAAGAGGAAGGAGCCUGGGAGAGACAGGGACUUCCGGGACUGCUGGCCUGCUUUUCCUGGAGUGCCUGGAGCCGGAGAAAGAACCAAGAUGCCACCUUGUCCAGUGGCCCAGCUCAGGAUAACUUCCAGGACCCUGAGGAGGAGCUGGCCCUGACGGCCAUAUUUCCCAAUGGAGACUGUGAGGACCUUGGAAAGGGACCAAAAGCCUGCGAUGGAGUCAUCCAUGCUCCUGCUGAGCCUGCCGGUGACUUGAGAUGAAGGCCGGAACCUCGAGCUGUCACUGGCGCUAACCCUCCAUGCCCGGCUCCUUGCUGUGCUCACGUGUCUCCACAAAGACCUGGACUGGUGGGAACUUCAAAGAUCCCAACUGCUGGGGACGGCCACAUCCACGGUUGUCUCUCAGGCAGUGGGACUCACUAAGCAGGCAGAACCUAGGAAAUGUGUGGCCUGGGACCCAGCUCCCGACCUCACAGCGGCUGGCUCCAGGGUCGCGCUGAAGCUCUUGUGCCUCUCCGUGCCUUGGUUUCUCUAUGCCAUGGGGACCUCUGGCUCUGCUUUGAGACUGUGCAGUGCUGUGGUGUCCCAUGGGGUGUGCAGCUGGAAAGAACUCUGGGUCAGAAGUCAUUCAAUCUGGGGUGUGGCCUUGGAUGUGUCACUGUCUCUGGGGCUUCUGUUUCACAACUGCGAGAGGGGGGCUGCCAGCUCAGUGGCUUUAACCUGCCCCGCAGGCAGCCUUAGAAAUGUGCAUGUGUGCAUUCUGGGGUUCCUGUGGCUGAAUAUUACGUGGGCCUCUUGUAAUAUAGUGAAGAAUUAGUUCACUCAAAAUGUCAAUCCUGACACCUUCAAUCUCUUCUUCUUGUCAAGUUCUAGGAAGAAGCCACAGUGCAGAGAGUCAGGUGUCCUGGUACUUUGACUCCCAGCAGACCAGAAUAAAGAGCACGCUGUUGCCCCAGGGGCCUGUUGGCCAGAGCCACGGUAGCCCACGUGCUGCACGGUCAGGACAGAGACAGCUGUUCACCCCCGUGUGGAGGAAGGGCCUCUUUCUUCCUCACAUUGCCAUUGACUUUCUGUGCCAAGUCCUUGGAGGAUCGGAGUGUGGGAGCUGCCCUUGACACCAGGCAGCCAGGGGGCUUGCUCUGGGUCUCGGGUCCUCGCCCAAGGUCAAGGCAGACAAAGGCCAGAGGUUCUUGAAUCCUUUCCUCUAGGUCUGAGUCACAUGGGAUUGAAGCUGUUCCCUGCAGGGCUGGGAAGGCCAUCAUUCACUCGCAGGGAACUCUGCCUCCCCUCUCUCCAUGCCUGUCCCUGGAGAGAGCCAAAGUCUGAAAUGGCAAAGGCAGCUCCACUCUCCCUAGUGGGAGACCCUGGCCGAGCAGGGGCUAAGUCCUCACGCUCGUGCUCGGUUCGCUCCGCAGACACAGUGGUGCCUGUGACUGGCUGCCAGGUGCUGCGUGACUCCCACUAGCGACUUCGGCUCUCUCGAUCCUGGUGCCAAACUGUGAAUACAAUACCCCUAGAGAGACUCUAGGAUGUUACGGAGGGGCCCUCCCUGCUCUGGGCCUCAGUUUCUUCUCUAUGAUAGGGAGCCUCACCCUGUCCCUUCCCAGCUUCAUGGGGACAGUGUGAGGACAAGCAGGGUGACAUCUUCAUUUGGGUAGGUUGGCAGCAGCAUCAUUUUAAUGAUGCAGAGCUGUCUCAUCAAUAGAUGGGCCUGGUAGGUCUUUGUCCACGUGAGAAGGAACUCGGUGAAUUUUGAUUAAUCGAUUUACUGAUCUUGAAGCUGCUAUAUUUUUCCUAUUAAUUUCUUUAUAUAAUGGAAGAUUGCUAAUUUAGUUGAGGGUGGGAACUUCCUUUUAAGUUAAGAAUUUGUCUACGGUAGAAGUUACAAGCUUUGGGGCCAGUCCUAUGGCCUAGUGGUUAAAGGAGCCAGAUCCCACAUGACCAGCUGUGCAGUUGGGAGCUAGCCACAGCAACUUGAAAAAAGG